UACAGAGGGUGCAAGCGUUGUUCGGAAUUAUUGGGCGUAAAGAGCUCGUAGGCGGUUUGUCGCGUCUGCUGUGAAAACUCGGGGCUUAACCCUGGGCCUGCAGUGGGUACGGGCAGACUAGAGUGCGGUAGGGGAGACUGGAAUUCCUGGUGUAGCGGUGAAAUGCGCAGAUAUCAGGAGGAACACCGGUGGCGAAGGCGGGUCUCUGGGCCGUAACUGACGCUGAGGAGCGAAAGCGUGGGGAGCGAACAGG
RNAcentral lists this ribosomal RNA (253 nucleotides) under uncultured bacterium. RNAcentral describes it as "partial 16S ribosomal RNA". It matches the Rfam family "Bacterial small subunit ribosomal RNA", at positions 524 to 776 of the family's 1533-position model. The record is from RNAcentral.